Molecule: unclassified non-coding RNA, 401 nt
Filed under: soil metagenome
Description: partial contains 5.8S ribosomal RNA, internal transcribed spacer 2, and large subunit ribosomal RNA
Rfam family: 5.8S ribosomal RNA (bases 1-121)
Source: RNAcentral
GAUGAAGAACGUAGUGAAAUGCGAUAAGUAAUGUGAAUUGCAGAAUUCAGUGAAUCAUCGAAUCUUUGAACGCACCUUGCGCCCUUUGGCUAUUCCGAAGGGCAUGCCUGUUUGAGUAUCAUGAACACCUCAACUCUCAUGGUUUGCCAUGAUGAGCUUGGACUCUGGAGGUCUUGCUGGCCUAUGGUCAGCUCCUCUCAAAUAAAUCAGCUUGCCAGUGUUUGGUGGCAUCACAGGUGUGAUAACUAUCUACGCUUGUGGUUUUCCAUCAGGUAACCUUCAGUGAUGGAGGUUCGCUGGAGCUCAUAAAUGUCCCUCCUCAGCGAGGACAGCUUUUUGAACAUUUGAUCUCAAAUCAGGUAGGACUACCCGCUGAACUUAAGCAUAUAAUAAGCGGAGGA